GAUGAACGCUGGCGGCGUGCCUAAUACAUGCAAGUCGAGCGAAUGGAUUAAGAGCUUGCUCUUAUGAAGUUAGCGGCGGACGGGUGAGUAACACGUGGGUAACCUGCCCAUAAGGCUGGGAUAACUCCGGGAAACCGGGGCUAAUACCGGAUAACAUUUUGAACCGCAUGGUUCGAAAUUGAAAGGCGGCUUCGGCUGUCACUUAUGGAUGGACCCGCGGCGCAUUAGCUAGUUGGUGAGGUAACGGCUCACCAAGGCAACGAUGCGUAGCCGACCUGAGAGGGUGAUCGGCCACACUGGGACUGAGACACGGCCCAGACUCCUACGGGAGGCAGCAGUAGGGAAUCUUCCGCAAUGGACGAGAGUCUGACGGAGCAACGCCGCGUGAGUGAUGAAGGCUUUCGGGUCGUAAAACUCUGUUGUUAGGGAAGAACAAGUGCUAGUUGAAUAAGCUGGCACCUUGACGGUACCUAACCAGAAAGCCACGGCUAACUACGUGCCAGCCGCCGCCGUAA
RNAcentral lists this ribosomal RNA (515 nucleotides) under uncultured bacterium. RNAcentral describes it as "partial 16S ribosomal RNA". It matches the Rfam family "Bacterial small subunit ribosomal RNA", at positions 28 to 523 of the family's 1533-position model. The record is from RNAcentral.